GACAGUCGUGGCCUAAUGGUUAGCGUGUUGGACUUAUGAACCUGAAGGUCGUGGGUUCGAGUCUCAGGUUUGGCA
Molecule: non-coding RNA, 75 nt
Organism: Pangasius djambal
Lineage: Eukaryota; Metazoa; Chordata; Actinopteri; Siluriformes; Pangasiidae
Source: the annotation of a GenBank genome assembly